AGGAUCAUUACUGAACUGUCGACAUGAGUUGUUGCUGGCCCUCAAACGGGGGCAUGUGCACGCUCUGUUUACAUACCCACUCACACCUGUGCACCCUCUGUAGUUUCGUGGCGUGGGGGGCUCUGUCCUCCCGCCGUGGCUCUACACCUUUACAUACACACACAUUGAUAAAGUCUUAUGGAAUGUAUGUCGCGUUUAACGCAAUACAAUACAACUUUCAGCAACGGAUCUCUUGGCUCUCGCAUCGAUGAAGAACGCAGCGAAAUGCGAUAAGUAAUGUGAAUUGCAGAAUUCAGUGAAUCAUCGAAUCUUUGAACGCACCUUGCGCCCUUUGGCUAUUCCGAAGGGCAUGCCUGUUUGAGUAUCAUGAACACCUCAACUCUCAUGGUUUGCCAUGAUGAGCUUGGACUUUGGGGGUCUUGCUGGCCUAUGGUCAGCUCCUCUAAAAUGGAUCAGCUUACCAGUGUUUGGUGGCACCACAGGUGUGAUAACUAUCUACGCUUGUGGUUUGCCAUCAGGUAACCUUCAGUGAUGGAGGUUCGCUGGGGCUCACAAAUGUCUCUCCUCAGCGAGGACAGCUUUUUGAACGUUUGAUCUCAAAUCAGGUAGGACUACCCGCUGAACUUAAGCAUAUCAAUAAGCGGAGGAAAAGAAACUAACAAGGAUUCCCCUAGUAACUGCGAGUGAAGCGGGAA
This 695-nucleotide ribosomal RNA is filed under the name uncultured Thelephoraceae. Its description in RNAcentral is "eukaryotic LSU rRNA". The stretch from base 213 to 367 matches the Rfam family "5.8S ribosomal RNA". Lineage: Eukaryota; Fungi; Basidiomycota; Agaricomycetes; Thelephorales; Thelephoraceae. The record is from RNAcentral.